CUUUCUUCAAGAAACGAAUGAUUCUCGCUUUGAUCGAUUUCGAAACCGGGUUGGUCUAUGGGCCACCGGAUGUUUCUUCUUCCAAAACCAUUCUUCACUUUUUCCGGUGGUUUCUCCAUUGCACAGAAACGGGAUUGAACAGAGAGAGAGUUUUAGUGGAAGGAGGUUGGAGGUUUGUAUUUUGACAUGAACGGUCUUCUUCGGACAUGGAUAUAAUUGGAGAAGAAAGGAGGGAUAAUGGUUUGGUUUGUUGUCUGUCUGAUUAUAGUGUUUUUGAGUUUGGUUUGUUGUCUGAUUCUAGUGUAGUGUUUUUGAGUUGGUGUGUUGUGUAUUAAUAGAGAAGCUAGCACCUUUCGUAACGGCUAUAUUUCUCUUAAAGGUUCGAGUCUGGUCUCGAUCGCCACAAAACGAGUCCGUUUCUCCUAACGGUAAUAAUGUUGGAAUCGAACCGGUCUUGCAACUACCUAAACCGGUCUUGCAAGUUCUUCUCGAAGAUGGUGCCUUAGCGGUACUAACUGAUGAAGAAGAAAGACGAUAUGACUGCAGGGCUACAACUGUAGAGCUAGACGCCAUGUGCGUGAGCUGGUUAUGUGAAAUUGAAACUUAACAACAUGGUUCUUGUUGAUGUUUCUUCACUAGUGUUUCUCAAGAAAAUUGAUUUUAUGUUUGUGUAAUUCAACUGAAAGAACUAGCAAUGAUGAAGUUGGGGGUUGUCAUAGAUGUCUCCUUCUUUGGUGAUUAUACUGGUGGGUUUGAGAAUGAAAUGCCUUAACAUUGUGAAGGCACAUAAUUGACUAUUGGUAUAUACUCAUUCUGGGUUCUAUAAAAUCAGUCAAGGAUCUCUGUUUAUGUUUAUGUGUA
Brassica napus (rape) is the source of this 861-nucleotide long non-coding RNA. RefSeq lists it as uncharacterized. The record is from RefSeq and is a predicted model, not a curated record. The transcript has 2 exons. NCBI's taxonomy places the organism in Eukaryota, Viridiplantae, Streptophyta, Magnoliopsida, Brassicales, Brassicaceae.